AUGGCCAAGCGGAGACCAGUGACGGGUGGUGUUCCUCAGGUGUCGGUGCUGUUGUACAUCCUUGUCGGUGACAUGGACAGCUCCCUUGUCCAGGCAGCGCUGACUCAGCCGCCCUCAGUGUCAGCGAACCUGGGAGAAACUGUCCGGAUCACCUGCUCCGGGGUUGACAGCAGCAUCAGCAAUGAUGCCGGCUGGUACCAGCUGAAGACACCUGGCAGUGCCCCUGUCACUGUGAUCUAUGAGAGCAGCAACAGACCCUCAGGCAUCCCUUCACGAUUCUCCGGAUCCAGGUCUGACUCCACGGGCACAUUAACCAUCGCUGGGGUCCAAGCCAAGGUCACAGCUAUUACUGUGGUGGCAAGGACAGCAGCAGUGGUGCUGUUAUAG
Molecule: non-coding RNA, 387 nt
Organism: Opisthocomus hoazin
Lineage: Eukaryota; Metazoa; Chordata; Aves; Opisthocomiformes; Opisthocomidae
Source: the annotation of a RefSeq genome assembly